AAUGUUUUCUUUUCUCCAGAUCAAUCCUUCAAAUACAUCUGUACGUUUACACAUGGGUCAGUCUUGACCAUGUUGACGUGACGGCGAAAACAGACAGUACGUCAAUAGCCGGAGUAGGUCUGUGAUUGUGAACAUUGGUGAAGGCGACUAUACAUUGUAUAGUUCCGUGUCGUAGUCGCUUGUUGAAAUGCGAAAGAGGAAGUAAUUAGAUAUACCGCCAGUUCAGCAAGGCCGAGCGAGCUAUGGAGACGGCAGCAAACAUGAGCGACUGGGUCAGCGGACGGGUUCAAGCUGCGGAAUUGACAAAUCCUGGUUUUCCUGGACCUGCAGCAUAGCAGCAAUGUCGACCAUUAGUAUUUACAUCCUCAGCCUGGAGUCCAAUACUUGCUCCCCAUGCCACCGGUACUACAACCUUGUGCCUUUCCGAAUGGGGUACAACCGGUACCUAUCACCGGAGCCCAACUUGGUGCAUAUACUAGCCUGCAGCACCAGGUUGUUCAAGGACAGCCCCCGGUCUUCGUUAAUGUCCCAUAUUGCCAACAGGGACUCAUUGCAAUUCCUCAGCCGCAGCCCCAGCAUGUCACUGUAGUACAUGCACAAACUCCCAUGCAGAGCCCAGCAUCGGCUGGAGUAUAUGCUGCAUAUCCUGGUGGAGGCCGGCUGUCACCCCCUAUCCCUCUCGUGCAGCUACCUCCUCCACCACCACCACCACCACCACCACGACUAUCACAACCGCCACCACCACGACCACCACGACUAUCACGACCACCACCACCACCACCACUACCACCAUCACCACCACCAUCACCGAAUCACUCAUACGGACAAGAUGUGGAACUGGAGGUGGAAAUGCAGGAAGACGCUCAGUCCAUUUCCGAUCAGAGCCAGGCCACUCAUGUAAGUCUGGAUUGCAAUGCUUCGCUUGUAUCUUCGCUACAAUAUGAUUCCGACACAGAGAGCAACACCCAGCCAGAACAAGUGGAAGCAUGCGCUUGGCAUGCUGAACAUCUGAGCGAAGACACUGAUGUUAGCAUGAUUUGCCAUGCUUCGUCUGUAUCGUCGCUACAAUAUGAUUCAGACAUAGAGAGCGACACUCAGCCAGAACAAAUGGAGGCAAGCGCUCGGCAUGCCGAACAUCUGCGCCAAGGCACCUAUUGUCAAGAUUCACGGCAAUCGUCAUGAGGAGAUUCUUUCGAAUUGAGAAGAAGCUAGAGAGGCAGGAGCAACUCCACCGCUUCCUCGAGUGCUUGGAUAGCAAUACACAUGCCUCUCUUGAAGAGUUAACUUUAAGUGCAAGAAACCAAUGGUACUAAACUGAAGUGAUAAAACUCUAACGAUACAUACGAACAUUUAAUGUCAAGGACGGAACGUACAGCUCUAUCAUGAAUAACCCAGACACUAUGUUUCACGAGUCUUGUAGUGUGCAUAUUCAAUACCCAGGUGUAAAUAUACCGUAGUGAAAACUGCAGUUUGUUGUUUGCACUUACAUGUAUGGCUAGAGUUUUAACAUAGGCUGCUGGUUCCACACAGUUGUUGCUUCUUUGUUGUUGUUGUUUGACAUCCUUUAUUCUCACUGUCCCGAUGCUUGUCUGUGAUCAAUAAGAGAAAUUGUUGUUUUUGCGCAUCACUUUUGUUGUUUCCAACUGUAUGGGGUUCAAUCACAGUGCCACCCGUUUUCAACAAGCCAGUAUUUUUCGCCACAGCUUCCAUUCAUGUAUUUUUUGUCUUCCACAUAUUUUCCAUUAGCAGUUUAGGACCAUGUGUUCCACCAUGGUAUCAGUGUAUGGUUGUAUGAUAACCAGGGGGAAGUCCCAUCAUAAGUAGUAGUAAGUGUCGGUGUUCUCCAGUGUUUUGCCUUGCUACCGUUUUCCUUAUCCGAUAGUGUUGCAACAAGUAAUUGGUUCUGUGAGUUUUGCGUGUGAAGACUGUGGUGU
Molecule: RNA transcript, 1934 nt
Organism: Sycon ciliatum
Lineage: Eukaryota; Metazoa; Porifera; Calcarea; Leucosolenida; Sycettidae
Exons: 3
Source: RefSeq, a predicted model, not a curated record